UUUAUGGAGAGUUUGAUCCUGGCUCAGGAUGAACGCUGGCGGCGUGCCUAAUACAUGCAAGUCGAGCGAACGGACGAGAAGCUUGCUUCUCUGAUGUUAGCGGCGGACGGGUGAGUAACACGUGGAUAACCUACCUAUAAGACUGGGAUAACUUCGGGAAACCGUAGCUAAUACCGGAUAAUAUUUUGAACCGCAUGGUUCAAAAGUGAAAGACGGUCUUGCUGUCACUUAUAGAUGGAUCCGCGCUGCAUUAGCUAGUUGGUAAGGUAACGGCUUACCAAGGCAACGAUGCAUAGCCGACCUGAGAGGGUGAUCGGCCACACUGGAACUGAGACACGGUCCAGACUCCUACGGGAGGCAGCAGUAGGGAAUCUUCCGCAAUGGGCGAAAGCCUGACGGAGCAACGCCGCGUGAGUGAUGAAGGUCUUCGGAUCGUAAAACUCUGUUAUUAGGGAAGAACAUAUGUGUAAGUAACUGUGCACAUCUUGACGGUACCUAAUCAGAAAGCCACGGCUAACUACGUGCCAGCAGCCGCGGUAAUACGUAGGUGGCAAGCGUUAUCCGGAAUUAUUGGGCGUAAAGCGCGCGUAGGCGGUUUUUUAAGUCUGAUGUGAAAGCCCACGGCUCAACCGUGGAGGGUCAUUGGAAACUGGAAAACUUGAGUGCAGAAGAGGAAAGUGGAAUUCCAUGUGUAGCGGUGAAAUGCGCAGAGAUAUGGAGGAACACCAGUGGCGAAGGCGACUUUCUGGUCUGUAACUGACGCUGAUGUGCGAAAGCGUGGGGAUCAAACAGGAUUAGAUACCCUGGUAGUCCACGCCGUAAACGAUGAGUGCUAAGUGUUAGGGGGUUUCCGCCCCUUAGUGCUGCAGCUAACGCAUUAAGCACUCCGCCUGGGGAGUACGACCGCAAGGUUGAAACUCAAAGGAAUUGACGGGGACCCGCACAAGCGGUGGAGCAUGUGGUUUAAUUCGAAGCAACGCGAAGAACCUUACCAAAUCUUGACAUCCUUUGACAACUCUAGAGAUAGAGCCUUCCCCUUCGGGGGACAAAGUGACAGGUGGUGCAUGGUUGUCGUCAGCUCGUGUCGUGAGAUGUUGGGUUAAGUCCCGCAACGAGCGCAACCCUUAAGCUUAGUUGCCAUCAUUAAGUUGGGCACUCUAAGUUGACUGCCGGUGACAAACCGGAGGAAGGUGGGGAUGACGUCAAAAUCAUCAUGCCCCUUAUGAUUUGGGCUACACACGUGCUACAAUGGACAAUACAAAGGGCAGCGAAACCGCGAGGUCAAGCAAAUCCCAUAAAGUUGUUCUCAGUUCGGAUUGUAGUCUGCAACUCGACUACAUGAAGCUGGAAUCGCUAGUAAUCGUAGAUCAGCAUGCUACGGUGAAUACGUUCCCGGGUCUUGUACACACCGCCCGUCACACCACGAGAGUUUGUAACACCCGAAGCCGGUGGAGUAACCUUUUAGGAGCUAGCCGUCGAAGGUGGGACAAAUGAUUGGGGUGAAGUCGUAACAAGGUAGCCGUAUCGGAAGGUGCGGCUGGAUCACCUCCUUU
RNAcentral lists this ribosomal RNA (1553 nucleotides) under Staphylococcus aureus. RNAcentral's name for it is "16S ribosomal RNA". It matches the Rfam family "Bacterial small subunit ribosomal RNA". Lineage: Bacteria; Bacillati; Bacillota; Bacilli; Caryophanales; Staphylococcaceae. The record is from RNAcentral.